UACGUAGGAGGCAAACGUUGUCCGGAUUUACUGGGUAUAAAGGGUGCUCAGGCGGUCUUGUAAGUCAGUGGUGAAAUCCCGGAGCUCAACUCCGGAACUGCCUUUGAUACUGCAAGGCUUGAGUAUGGAAGAGGUGGAUGGAAUUUCUGGUGUAGCAGUGAAAUGCGUAGAUAUCAGAAAGAACACCAGUGGCGAAGGCGGUCUACUGGUCCAUUACUGACGCUAAAGCACGAAAGCAUGGGGAGCAAACAGG
RNAcentral lists this ribosomal RNA (253 nucleotides) under uncultured bacterium. Its description in RNAcentral is "partial 16S ribosomal RNA". It matches the Rfam family "Bacterial small subunit ribosomal RNA", at positions 524 to 776 of the family's 1533-position model. The record is from RNAcentral.